GACGAACGCUGGCGGCGUGCUUAACACAUGCAAGUCGAACGGAAAGGCCCUGCUUUUGUGGGGUGCUCGAGUGGCGAACGGGUGAGUAACACGUGAGUAACCUGCCCUUGACUUUGGGAUAACUUCAGGAAACUGGGGCUAAUACCGGAUAGGAGCUCCUGCUGCAUGGUGGGGGUUGGAAAGUUUCGGCGGUUGGGGAUGGACUCGCGGCUUAUCAGCUUGUUGGUGGGGUAGUGGCUUACCAAGGCUUUGACGGGUAGCCGGACUGAGAGGGUGACCGGCCACAUUGGGACUGAGAUACGGCCCAGACUCCUACGGGAGGCAGCAGUGGGGAAUAUUGCACAAUGGGCGGAAGCCUGAUGCAGCAACGCCGCGUGCGGGAUGACGGCCUUCGGGUUGUAAACCGCUUUCGCCUGUGACGAAGCGUGAGUGACGGUAAUAGGUAAAGAAGCACCGGCUAACUACGUG
This 468-nucleotide ribosomal RNA is filed under the name uncultured bacterium. RNAcentral describes it as "partial 16S ribosomal RNA". It matches the Rfam family "Bacterial small subunit ribosomal RNA", at positions 28 to 507 of the family's 1533-position model. The record is from RNAcentral.